Molecule: RNA transcript, 2075 nt
Organism: Gossypium arboreum
Lineage: Eukaryota; Viridiplantae; Streptophyta; Magnoliopsida; Malvales; Malvaceae
Gene name: serine/threonine-protein phosphatase PP1 isozyme 2
Exons: 4
Source: RefSeq, a predicted model, not a curated record
CAAUGGGCUAUUUACCAAGCCUUAUAUCAUCGACUAUUCGACUCCGACGAAGUUUAAUACUUAUUAGUUAUAUACAGAAAUUAGGCUUCUCCGCCGUUCCGGAGUUGCAUUCACCGCCACUUUUCUUUUAAUUUUUCUUCUCUAGUAUUAAUUUUAUUAAUCCCCACACGCAAGCCAGGCCACAUUCUUCCCCGCCCCUUCUUUUUCAAAUAACACCAGAAAAUGAAACGAAGUUGAAAAACCCAGAACAGAAAAACAAAGAAAAAAAAUUAUUACUUUUUUGGAGAGAUUUCUUUAUUAUUAUUUUUCUCAGAUUAUGGGAUCUGUUACAAUGGACCCUGCCGUUUUGGAUAAUAUAAUAUGUCGUUUAUUGGAGUUUAAGCAGGAAAGGACAGGGGGCAAGCAAGUGCAGCUGAUGGAAGGUGAGAUCCGUCAGCUUUGCACUGUUGCAAGGGAGAUAUUUAUUCAACAGCCAACUCUUCUUGAACUUGAAGCUCCCAUUAAGAUAUGUGGUGACAUUCACGGGCAGUAUGUUGAUCUUCUGCGUAUUUUUGAGUAUGGGGGUUUCCCUCCCAGUGUUAAUUAUUUAUUCCUGGGGGACUAUGUUGAUCGUGGCAAGCAGAGUCUAGAAACUAUAUGCCUUUUGCUGGCCUAUAAGAUCAAAUAUCCUGAUAACUUGUUUCUUUUGCGAGGGAAUCAUGAAUGUGCUUCUAUUAAUCGGAUUUAUGGAUUUUAUGAUGAAUGCAAACGAAGGUUCAAUGUGAAAGUUUGGAGAAUCUUUACCGAGUGUUUUAACUGUCUUCCCGUGGUUGCUUUAAUAGAUGACAAAAUUUUGUGUAUGCAUGGUGGCCUUUCCCCUGAUCUAACAAAUUUGGAUCAGAUAAGGGCCUUAACCCGUCCAACUGAUGUUCCUGAUACUGGUUUGCUUUGUGAUUUACUUUGGUCAGAUCCUGGUAGGGAUAUCAAAGGCUGGGGCAUGAGUGAUCGAGGAGUCUCGUUCACAUUUGGCCCAGAUAGAGUCUCUGACUUCUUAGUGAAAAAUGAUCUGGACCUCAUUUGCCGUGCCCAUCAGGUUGUUGAAGAUGGUUAUGAGUUCUUUGCUGACAGACAGCUUGUUACAAUAUUUUCCGCUCCCAACUACUGUGGCGAAUUUGAUAAUGCUGGUGCAAUGAUGAGUGUUGAUGAAAGCCUAAUGUGUUCUUUCCAAAUUCUUAAGCCUGCUGAUAAAAGACUCGGGUUCAGUUGAGGGACACUACCGACUUCUGCCUCCGUUCCUACACGGAUUUGCUGAUUUGUGAUUCGAGAUGAAAGUUUCUAUGAUUUUCAGACGCCAGAGUUGGAGGCUUUUUGAAGAUAUGAGAUAUGCAAUAUCACCAUUUCCUCAUUUUAAGGAAAGAAAUGGGUCAUUACAGAAGGUGAUCGCCCAGCUUCAAACUGAUUUUUCUCAAAUGGAUGGUAAGUUUGAGACACAAUUGAAAGAGAUUAGAGAAGAGUUCAAGGGUGAGAUUAAUAGUGAGUUGCAAUCUUUGUUCGAGAGAUAUUUUGGCCAACCAUCUAAUGGCAGUUUUUGGGUCAACACCAGACAAAGGGAAAGGCAUUCGAGGCACACGACCACCAAGGUUCCCUCCUAAAGACACCUUGGCAGUUUCUCCAGCACCUAAGCUGAUUUACACAUGAGCUACUUCACGAAUGAGUAGUAUUGAGACACUAACAAAGCCAUUCAAGUUUGACUGACCACGUUUUGAUGGACCGACUUCAAGGGCUGGUGGUUGAAAACGGAGCAAUUCUUUGAGGCUGAAAGAGUCUUCUUGGAUCAUGUCAAGGUAAGGCUUUAGAUUGGCACCAUUUUUUUUUGCUCAUAGGGGGCCUUCAUAUACUUACCUAAUAUGUAUAUGCACAAGGCUUGAAAGAGAGAUUUGGGUCUAGUUCAUUUUUGGACCCCAUGGCAGAGCUAGUUUCACUCAAGCAACAGGGUACUGUUGACUAGUACCAUGAUACCGUGUUGCCUUUAUAAGCUUGUUGAACUAAUUACAUUUGCCUAAAAAUUAUGCUCUUAGUAACUUGACAUGGACCAA